AUGGAGAACAAGGAGGCGGCUGCAGCGGCGGCGCCGGCCGUGCCGGAGAAGGAGUCGCAGGCGGCGUCGACGUGCUUUAAGAGGACGGUGGCCGAGGACGCGGGGCUGAUGGAGCUGGCCAAGGACCAGUACCGGCAGUUCAAGGAGGCGCAGGGGAGGGACCACUGGGAGUGCAUCAAGAACAAGGUCAGCUCCAUGUUCGCCGACCCCAUCUUCGGCGGCUUCAAGCCUGACUCCACCACCAACACGCCGCCGUCCGUCGAGUCGCAGUAG
Molecule: ribosomal RNA, 273 nt
Filed under: Triticum aestivum (bread wheat)
Lineage: Eukaryota; Viridiplantae; Streptophyta; Magnoliopsida; Poales; Poaceae
Description: partial small subunit ribosomal RNA
Source: RNAcentral